UACGUAGGGUGCAAGCGUUGUCCGGAAUUAUUGGGCGUAAAGAGCUCGUAGGCGGUUUGUCGCGUCUGCUGUGAAAACCCGAGGCUCAACCUCGGGCCUGCAGUGGGUACGGGCAGACUAGAGUGCGGUAGGGGAGAUUGGAAUUCCUGGUGUAGCGGUGGAAUGCGCAGAUAUCAGGAGGAACACCAACGGCGAAGGCACUCUGCUGGGCCGACACUGACACUGAGAGACGAAAGCUAGGGGAGCGAAUGGG
This 253-nucleotide ribosomal RNA is filed under the name uncultured bacterium. RNAcentral describes it as "partial 16S ribosomal RNA". It matches the Rfam family "Bacterial small subunit ribosomal RNA", at positions 524 to 776 of the family's 1533-position model. The record is from RNAcentral.